This is a non-coding RNA of Saimiri boliviensis boliviensis (Bolivian squirrel monkey), 220 nucleotides long. NCBI's taxonomy places the organism in Eukaryota, Metazoa, Chordata, Mammalia, Primates, Cebidae. The record is from RefSeq and is a predicted model, not a curated record.
GGUCAAGGGAUCCUUUCACUUCAGCCUCUACUGUCUAUAAAAUAGAUUGGUAAAAACCAGCAGACACUCUCUGCGUAGGAUCAUCAUGCCGAGCAUAAACUGGACUUUCCCACUUGCCUGGCAGGAGUCAGACAGAUCCCUGUGUGCUAAAUGAGCAUCUGAGGUUUGAGAUGGGGCCCAAGAUACUUUUCGGACAAGUUUCCUGGUGAUGCAAUAUUGC